UAGCCUAGUGGUGAAGGCUAUGGAUUGCCAAUCCGGAGACGGCGGGUUCGAGUCCCGU
This is a non-coding RNA of Aedes albopictus (Asian tiger mosquito), 58 nucleotides long. Lineage: Eukaryota; Metazoa; Arthropoda; Insecta; Diptera; Culicidae. The record is from Rfam.